ACCGGCGGGCGGCAGUCUCGCCUUGGCCGCCCGCCGGACCUCUACACAUACCUUCUCUCCCGCUGUUUUGAUUCGGAGUUAGCAGAAGCAUCACAUAUUGAUCCACACACUGCCAUACACACAGACACCACAACACACACAUGGGCUGAGGGCUCUGGCUUUCUUUCUCUUCAGAAGGAAGCUAGGGCAUAGAAAAACACUGCGAUUUUCUGUGGGGAAGAUCAGCGUCUGCUUCACCGGCCAUGAUGGAGUUCUUUGUCCAUCGUCAUUUCCGACCCACUCGACGAUCUGGGUCACUCCUUCUGCUGCGUCAGACCCGACCCGAAUCAUCUUUCUUCCUCCACAGUCCACUCGGAGGAGACCACACUUUCCGAUCAAUCUCCGGCGCCUCCGUCAGCGCCAACACUUCAACCCCUCUCUCCACAGCCUUCGUCGAUCUCUACAGCUACAACAGCUUGGAUCGAGCCUCGGCUUUCGAGAGCCGGCAAAAAGGCAACACUGAAAGUACCUCCCAAGCACGGGCCAUGCUCUCACCUGAGUCUAGACAAAGCCCAUGCCCCAAAUGUGACUCAGAUCCUCUCCAAAGACCAAUCCCGAGUCAACAUAAUUCACUUUCGCCUUAACUCCAACUCAGCACAAAACAAUAUACUGAACUCCUCCAAGGCCACUCUCCCAGUAAACUCCGGCGCCUCAAUCGGCACCGGUAACUUCAUCGUCACCGUCGGACUCACCCUCCUCUUCAACACCGGCAGUGACCUCACUUGGACUCAGUGCCAGCCAUGUCUCGUCUCGUUCCGACGAUCGUCGUAACCCAUCAUUAUAAACCCAGAUGGACCAACGUUUUUCUGGGCACCCGCGUAGAUCCGGCUUUGAGCAGAAAUUGGAAGACACCAGGGUAACCGAUACCUUGCUCCAACCAAUCCAUUUGCAAAGGAGGUGACAAAAAGGGUGGACACUGCUGCAAGUCAAUGGAAGGGUUGGAAUUGGAGAUCGGAGGGUGAC
Camellia sinensis is the source of this 1002-nucleotide non-coding RNA. The record is from RefSeq and is a predicted model, not a curated record. Lineage: Eukaryota; Viridiplantae; Streptophyta; Magnoliopsida; Ericales; Theaceae.